This 16907-nucleotide long non-coding RNA is filed under the name Vitis vinifera (wine grape). Its description in RNAcentral is "long non-coding RNA (VVIN_LNC004864)". Lineage: Eukaryota; Viridiplantae; Streptophyta; Magnoliopsida; Vitales; Vitaceae. The record is from RNAcentral.
GAUGCUUCCAAUAAUUCCUAUGGGUCACCAUUGAUCAGCUUUAUGAAGAACCGUAGUUAUAGACUGUAUGGUUAGAGGGCAAUCCAGUUUGUGUAUUGUGUUUAUUGUAUUGUGAGCAUUCAAUAGAUAAAACUAGAAAGAGCGUGACCUUUUUAUGACAACUUUAGAAACCAGGGGUUAAAAGAGACAUUACAAACUGAAGUUUUUGAGAGGAAACCUCAAGAGUAUACUGGGAAGCCAUGGUGGAACAAGUAGAGAGGAAGCCUCAGAAGGAAGGAGCAAUGGUUGAACCACUUGACAUUGUUGCCUACUACAGGGAGGGUGUAAGAAACAACAUAACCGAGGGAAGAUCUGAACGUUAAACGUUGUCCAAUUAUUAUAAAUGUCUUAUACAUUACGUGUGAAAAUACCAAAAAAAAUUAUAUUCAACAUUUAUGUUUGUAUACAAGCAAUAUUUUGGAUAGUUUGAUAUAAAAAACAAAUGAAGAAAAUGAAGAAAAACAUACAAAUAUAUUUACAAUGGACAAACUUAUACAAUUAGUAUAAAUGUCUUGUAUAUUUAGUACAAAUGUCUCGUACUUUGUAAAAAUAUAAAAAUAUAGUAUUUGACUUUUAUAUAUGUGUGAAAAUGUAAAAAGAAAAAGAAAAAUAGUUAGAGCAUUUGGUACCGUGAGUGAUGACUUCACCUAAAGAAAGGUUAAUGAAUAUUAUGGUCUCGAUGGAAGAGCGACUCCGGUAAAAUAUAUGGAUUAAAUUGAUGCUUUUCUUUUGACGAUGAAGUAGUUGAGUUAUGAAUACGAGGUUUUGCUAACAGCAUUGAAGGCAAGGAUUCCCUAAUAUACUCCAAUUCAUAUUCAAUUUGUAGACCUUCAACUAACUACUCUUGCUAACGAGCAUAUCCAAGUCAAUACAUAAGAUUAAUUAAGAUUAAGUAUUACGUAUGAUAAUUGAAACCCUAUUUAAAUAAAUAAUGACACAUAUAUAAAAAAUAUAUAUAUUUUUAAAAAAAUAAAUAACAAUUUAGAGAAUUUCAUAACUUAGCAUCAAACCUAUUGUAAGAAAGAGUAUUAUACAAUGUAGGGUUUAGGAUCCAAGUCAACCUAAGAUCAAAUUUAAGUUUUAAGAUCAAUUCACAUUCAAAACUAAGGUUUUAAGUUUCAAAAAUAUAUUUCUUAAACCAAUUAAAUGGAAAAAAGAAAAUUACAAAGAAAAUUUCUCCCUCAUCAGUUUCUUUUAUCUUGAAAACUAAAGGAAAUAUAUAUCAAUAUUUGAGAUGGAAAUUCAUAAUCUUAGGUGGUGUUUGUUUUUUUGGCUUUUUGCUGAAAACUAUUUAGUUUUAGAAUUUAGGUUUUUUUUUUUUUUUACUUUUUCAUGACUUAUAAUAAACUUUUUACUAAAUAGAAAAAACCAAAAUAUGUGGUUUUUUCUAAAUAGAAAAAAUAACACAAUGGUUUUUUUUACUUUUUAAUACUUAAUAGAAAUAAAAUACUACAAAAACAAACAUCUUAAUAUUUAAUACUAUUAAGUAUUAAGGUUCUAUUUAGAAUUAAGUAAAAAAACAAACACCACCUUAGAAACACAAAGAACAAAGAGAGUAUGAAGAGACCAUACCAUGAGAGAUUUUCCGAAAGGUUGGUAAACCAUGGUAAUCACCUUUGAGUCUUGCUGAGAAAAACAAACCUUAUUUAUUUUUAUUUUUUUAUCAUUUUUUCUCUUGUGUGGUGUACAUUUAAGAAAAACAAAUCUCAAAAAAAAAAAAAAACACAAACCAAAUAAUGCCAGAAUUUGGGUUGAGAAACACCCAAAAGAUAGUGGCCCAAUACAUGUGCCUAAGAAAAUCUUCAUGAGCCGAUAAACAUAGUCACAAAACUAGUAACAGCCUUGUAGCCAUAGUUGGUGUAGUAUGAGCAAGUGGGGUAUGAAGUAGGUAGGUGAGUAUUGCAAUGAAAUUUCCAGCACUGCUUCCUGAAUUAAGAAAUCACAUACCCAAGUCUUAGUCGUCGUCGUCGUCGUACCGUGUGAGAACCGGGAAGAAUCUUUGCUCGUAGACUGGCUUUUGUAGUCUUUCUUUAACAAUUACAAGUUAUCUGAAUUCCCUUCAUCCUCCUAUAUAAUAUUGUUUUGGUCUUGUUCUUGUUGCAUUGUGGCUAGGCAUCUCCAUGGAAGGAAGGAGGAUGAAUCAAGUUCCUUUGUAUGAAUCAAUUUCUCUGCUCUUUUUUUUUUUCAAUCCUUGAAUCGAAUCAUUGCUUAGUUCUUGCUUUAAUUUCUCCAUUUUCUGUUGGGUCUUUGAUUGCAGGUUUAGCUCUGCAAGAGAACUGGGAAAUUUAAUUGUGACCUCCAAUCUAAUCGACUCUGCUUUGACUAAAAUUCUUGAGCUUCAAAGAGACCAAACAGCCUUGCUUUCCCCCGUUCAAUACAGAGUUUUUUUAUCCAUCUCCCAACUGCACAAUUGUAGCUUUUGUCUCUUCACCUGACUGCACUCAAAACCCUCUUCCUGGACAAGGAGAUUUAGUUCCCUCUCCUCUCUUUGACUUCCUCUGCACCGAAGAAUACAAGUCCGUCUCCAUUAACAGAGCUGCAUUAACCCUCUUUACCUCUCUCCACGAUCAUCUCUCUGGACUAAAAACUCAGGUCAAAAUAUGAUAGUUGUUUUUAUUUUCGUUUCCUUUUUGUUAACAAUUGUGAGACAUGAAACAGCUUGACCAUGAGAUCUCUCUCAUAGAGUCAAACUACCUGAAGAAGAAGAAGACGUUACACAUAUCCAUCUGCGUUGCAUCAUCGCAUUACCCAUUGAUCGGUUGUGAUUCAACUCUUAAUAGGAAGACAGUAGAACUGGUGUUGGUAUCUGUUUUUAGAUCAGCUUAUAUGUAUCUUGUUGCUAAAAAGGGAAUGUUUAGAAGUGAGAUUAAUGGGAUUAUUCUGACAUGGAUUUCAUAUGGUUACCUGUUUUGCAGUUGACUGUGAUUGAAGGUCAAUUAAUCAUCACUGGGCACUCCCUGGGAGGAGCCGUUGCUUCUCUCUUCACCUUAUGCCUGCUAGAUGAAAAUUUAUUAAAACCCAAAUGCCGCCCCUUUUGUAUCACCUUUGGUUCACCCCUCGUCGGCGGCUUUGGCCUCCAACACUCCAUAUGGAAUUCUUUCUUCCUGCAUGUAGUGUCUAACCAAGACCCAGUCCCCGGUCUCUUCCUCCCAUCUGGCAGAGGCAGAUCUACGCCCACAUCCUCCCAUUCACAAACUACCGGUUACAAGCCCUUUGGGACAUAUCUCUUGUGCUCUGAACUUGGUUGUGCUUGUUUUGACAACCCUGAUUUAAUUUUGGAAUUGCUGAAAGUCAUAUCAUCAGAGGUUGCCGGAGGAUUGCAGGAUGUUGAUUAUGGGGAGAUUUUAAGAAACCUCAAGGAGAGGGCAAUCUGCAAGGGACUUCCGCAGGUGGGUGAAAGGUUUGCAAAUCCAUUUUCAGCUGGGAUCAUCAUGGAACUUGAGACAAUUGGAUUUAAUCAAACAAAGGUAAACAGCUUUCUCCCAUCUAAUGAUGUUAUGGAACAUGGUUUACACCUCAUUAAAUACUGCAACAACUGCCCUAUUUAGAUUUACCUUCUUGUUCUUUGGGAUUUUCCAUAACUAGACUCAUUUUUUAAUUUCAUGGCAGCUGCUGCAGCAUAACAUUGAUAUCGAGACUGUGAUAAGCGCAAUGGAAGCGGAAGCAAGAAACCUAACCCAGAAAAAUAAAGCUUCCGAUGCCAAGAAACUGAAUGAAAUAAAAAUAGACAUGACCCGGCUAGAAUUGUAUAAGAAGAAUUCGAACAUGGGUUACUACGAUUGCUUCAAAAACCAGGGGUCUAAAAGGGACAUCCACGUUGAACAGUUUAGGGUAAACCUCACAGGGUACUGGGAAGGCAUGGUUGCACAAAUACAGAGGAAGCCUCAUAAGGAAGGAGCAACAUUUCGAACCCGUUGGCUCUAUGCAGGGACGGUUUAUAGAAGAAUGGUUGAACCACUGGACAUUGCUGCCUUCUACAGAGAGGGUAGAAAAGACUACAUGAAUAAAAGAUCUGCACAUUACAAGCUGUUGCAGGAAUGGUAUGAGGAAGAUGUGAAACCCCCCUCUAGAGAUAAGCUUGAUUCCAAGAAGCAAAAGGUGUCCAGUAUCCUAACUGAGGAUUCUUGCUUUUGGGCACAUGUGGAGGAGGCUAUCUUGUCAUGCGAAUUGCUCAAGAGUGAAAACUGUAAUCUUGAGGAGGGAAAAUCAUCAUGGGAUAAUCUGGUUAAGUUCGAGGAGUAUGUAAUGGAACAGAUUGACAACUAUGCAGUGUCCCCUGAGAUUUUCUUGGAGAAAAGCAGCUUCAUGAAAUGGAGGGGACUGUAUGAGGGCUACAUAGAUACUCGCAGUAAUUCCCAUAGCUCGCCAUUGAUCAGCUUUAUGAAGAAUCGUAGUUAUAGACAAUAUGGAUAGAGGGGUAAUCCAGUUUGUGUGUUGUGUGUAUUGUUUUGUGAGCAUUCAAUGGAUAGAACUAGAAAGAGUGUGACCUUUUCCUUUUUUUUUUCAGUUGCUGCCCAUAUUCUCAGCACUAUUUUCUUCCUUCUUUUCCUCAGUUUUUUUGUUAAGAAAUGAAUAUUAUGAUGUUGCCGGGAUGCACUUUCAUUUUUGUUCCAUUACAUUGUGUUUUAUUCAUAUCCUAAACAAAUAAAUGUAAACAAGAAAAUCAAAUGAGACUUCAAAGAGUCUGUUCCUUUUAAAGCAAGGGAAAAAAAGGACAUGUUUGUUUACUUCCACAGCUGGGUAGAUUCAACUCCACCAAAAUUGGCAACAACUUCCCAUUGAAAAAUUCCUUUUAAGCUUGAAUGACAUAAAACUAGAUAUGUUCCAGCUAGAAUGGUACAAGAAAGAAAUCAAAAGAUGAGCACAAUGGGUUAUUAUGACAGCUUUAGAAACCUGGGGUGUAAAAGAGACAUUAAAAUGGAACCGAGGGGAAGACAUUGUAGAACAAGUAAAGAGGAAGCCUCACCAGGAAGGGCAGCUUUGCAAACCCUCUGGCUCUGUACAGGAACGAAUUAUAGAAAGAUGGUUGAACCACUUGACAUUGCUGCCUACCACAGAGAGGGUGGAAGAAACUACAUAACCAAUGGAGGAUGUAAACAUUACACGCUAUUAGAGCAAUGAUGCAAUGAAGAGAAGGGGACUUUGUCUUCCAAUAAUUUAAGAAAAUAAAACCAAAUAAUGCCAGAAUUUGGGUUGAGAAACACCCAAAAGAUAGUGGCCCAAUAUGAAGUAGUCACAAAACUAGUAACAGCCUUGUGGCCAUAGUUGGUGUAGUAUGAGCAAGUGGGGUAUGAAGUAGGUAGGUGAGUAUUGCAAUGAAAUUUCCAGCACUGCUUCCUGAAUUAAGAAAUCACAUACUCAAGUCUUAAUCGUUGUCAUCAUACCGUGUGAGAACCGAGGAAGAAUCUUUGCUCUUAGACUGGAUUUUGUAGUCUUUCUUUAACAAUUACAAGUUAUCUGAAUUCCCUUCAUCCUCCUAUAUAAUAUUGUUUUUGGUCUUGUUCUUGUUGCAUUGUGGCUAGGCAUCUCCAUGGGAGGAAGGAGGAUGAAUCAAGUUCCUUUGUAUGAAUCAAUUUCUCUGCUCUUUUUUUUUUCAAUCCUUGAAUCGAAUCAUUGCUUAGUUCUUGCUUUAAUUUCUCCAUUUUCUGUUGGGUCUUUGAUUGCAGGUUUAGCUCUGCAAGAAAACUGGGAAAUUUAAUUGUGACCUCCAAUCUAAUCGACUCUGCUUUGACUAAAAUUCUUGAGCUUCAAAGAGACCAAACAGCCUUGCCUUCCCCCGUUCAAUACAGAGUUUUUUAUCCAUCUCCCAACUGCACAAUUGUAGCUUUUGUCUCUUCACCUGACUGCACUCAAAACCCUCUUCCUGGACAAGGAGAUUUAGUUCCCUCUCCUCUCUUUGACUUCCUCUGCACCGAAGAAUACAAGUCCGUCUCCAUUAACAGAGCUGCAUUAACCCUCUUUACCUCUCUCCACGAUCAUCUCUCUGGACUAAAAACUCAGGUCAAAAUAUGAUAGUUGUUUUUAUUUUCGUUUCCUUUUUGUUAACAAUUGGGAGACAUGAAACAGCUUGACCAUGAGAUCUCUCUCAUAGAGUCAAACUACCUGAAGAAGAAGAAGACGUUACACAUAUCCAUCUGCGCUGCAUCAUCGCAUUACCCAUUGAUCGGUUGUGAUUCAACUCUUAAUAGGAAGACAGUAGAACUGGUGUUGGUAUCUGUUUUUAGAUCAGCUUAUAUGUAUCUUGUUGCUAAAAAGGGAAUGUUUAGAAGUGAGAUUAAUGGGAUUAUUCUGACAUGGAUUUCAUAUGGUUACCUGUUUUGCAGUUGACUGUGAUUGAAGGUCGAUUAAUCAUUACUGGGUACUCGAUGGGAGGAUCCGUUGCUUCUCUCUUCACCUUAUGCCUGUUAGAAGUCAUCAAUUUAUCAAAACCCAAAUGCCGCCCCAUUUGUAUCACCUUUGGUUCACCCCUCAUAGGCGACUUUGGCCUCCAACACUCCAAUUGGAAUUCUUUCUUCUUGCAUGUAGUGUCCAACCAAGAUCUAGUCCCCGGACUCUUCCUCCCAUCCGACAGAUCUCCUCCCACAUCCUCCCAUUCACAAACUACUGGUUACAAGCCCUUUGGGACAUAUCUCUUGUGCUCUGAACUUGGUUGUGCUUGUUUUGACAACUCUGAUUUAAUUUUGGAAUUGCUGAAAGUCAUAUCAUCAGAGGUUGCCAGAGGAUUGCGGGAUGUUGAUUACAGGAAGAUUUUAAGAAACCUCAAGGAGAGGGCAAUCUGCAAGGGACUUCCGCAGGUGGGUGAAAGGUUUGCAAAUCCAUUUUCAGCUGGGAUCAUCAUGGAACUUGAGACGAUUGGAUUUAAUGAAACAAAGGUAAACAGCUUUCUCCCAUCUACUGAUGUUAUGGAACAUGGUUUACACAUCAUUAAAUACUGCAACAACUGCCCUAUUUAGAUUUAGGGCAAUGAUGAAAAUAUCAGUAAUCACGGAUAUAUCAGUAUUUCGAUUUUACGGAUAUAUCGGAUAUAUCGGAGAUAUAUCGGUAGAUAUUUUGAAAAAAAAUAUCGGCAAGCUUAAAAUUGUUAAAAACUCAUGAAAAUAUAAGAAAAUCUCAUAAUAAUAUAAUUAAAAGUAUAAUAGACAUUUUAAAGUUAUUUUAUUGAAAAUUUUGAUAUAUGUAUAACAUGAUUUAUCAUAUUUGAUAAUAAUAUCGUAUGCGUCGAUAAAAAUAUGAAUUUUAUAAGUGUACAUUUAUUAUUAAAUUACACCUAAUAUUAUGAUAUCUGAUUAUAAUAUGUCUAAUUUUAAAAUAUAUAUUAGUAUUAAAAUAUGAUCCAUUUAAUUCAAUUGUAUUAAACAAUAUAAAAUAAAUAAUGAUAUAUAUAUAUAUAUAUAUAAUUUUUUAAUAUUUAAUUAAUUAUUAAUGAUAUUAAAAACAUUAUGAAGAAAAUUAUAUAAUUUUUUAAUUUUUGGUAAUUAAUUAAAAGACUUUGCAUUUAAUUAUAAAUUAAUUAUAAUUAAUUUACUCUUUAAAAUAUUCUUAUAUUUUCUUUAUAUAAUGAAUUUAAGUAUAUAUAUAGUUGUUGCAUAUUAUAUAUUAAAGGACAACUUAGCCCAAGUGGUAAGCGAGUGAACCCCAAUGUGAGGCAUUGUAGCACGUGCACUGUAGCAUCACUGUAGCGACUCUGACUUUCGUUGACCCGCAUUGACUACACGAUAUAUCGGAGAAAAAUCACUGAUUUAUCGCCAAAUCACCAAUAAAUCGCCGAUUUCUCGCGAUAAAUACCAAAAUAUAGUGUCGAAACCCUUCGAUACACGAUUUUUCGGCGCAUUUUCUUACUUGGAUUUACCUUUUUGUUCUUUGGGAUCUUCCAUGACUCAUUUUUUAAUGCCAUUUUAUUUUCCUUUUUGUUUCUAAAUUUUUAAAAAAUCGUUUUCACUUCUUUUUUUUAAGAAAAUUUUGGCAAAUUUUGAAAAUAUAAUAUUAGUGUUUUCACUUCUUUCUUUUUUUUUUUUUUCUUUUUUUUUUUAAACUCAAUUUUCUAAAAAAUGAAAAUAGAAAAACAUUGUCUAAACAUGUUUGUAAACUUAAUUUUAUUUUUUUAUAAAUGAAAAAAAAAAUCUAAAUGAGUAAGGCUUUAUUAAUUUUAAUUUUUUUCUUUUCCUUAUAUUUUCUUAUUUUAUUCCAAAUUUUCUUGCAACCAAACAUAAUCUAAAUGUUUACAACUUUUAUUGUAAGGAAUGAAUGACACUACUUUGUGAACUUUUAUGAUAAUAUUUUGAAUCAUAAAUUGUGUUUUUUUUAGUAAUAUCAAUUUUAUUACCAAUGACUUAAUUGUUAAUAACAAAAUAUAAUAUUUAUAAAUAUUUUUAUUCUCAACAGGCUACAAUUUUUACUCUUGUGAUAAAAAAAAUUUUGUCAUAAAUUACACAUUAUGAUGAGUUUUUCUAUUUUCCUUAUCAGCCAAUUCAACAAAUAUCAUAUAUAUUGUAAUGGCUAACAAAUUUUCACAUAAAUUUUUUAUAAGAUAAAGUAGAAUGGAAUUAUUCAAUUUCAAAAAAAAAAAAAAUGGUACCUAAUGAAAAAGAUAAAAUAUAUAGAUCAUCUCGAAGAAAUCAGGAAAGAUAAAUGAUGAGACCAUAUAUAGGACCCUUGAUGGAGACUAUUUUAAUUGAAGUGGUGUGCUCCUUCCGACUCAGAACAUGUUCAGCAUUGCACACAAACUAACAUCGUCGAUCUUGAGUAUGAAAAAGGUGAUUAGAUUCCAAGGUUGUCGUUUGUCCCAACUCCUCAUAUUAGAGGUGAUGCUCAAGCUAACGUGCCUCGCAGUUGAGCCCCGGCCAAUCGGUCUAAUAUGCUUUUCCAAUGGUGAGUUUCACUGCCACCAUGUAUUACAUUAAUUCCGAUAGCGCACAAGUUGUGUUUGUGCUAUUGCUUUUUGCCCUCACAAACAUAUACACAAGAGACAUUCAGACCAGAUCUGUUCUACCAUCCUCUAGGAAAGCAUUGUAGGUCAUUUGAAAUUGGGAUUUCAGCACCAGAGUCAAAUUGCCUUCCUUCCUGAAAGAUGAGCAUUUUUUAUACUCUUACAUCGGCUUUUAUGGAAAUGAAAUCAGCUUCUCAUUCUGUUACAUUUUUCAAUUUUGCUGCCUAUAACUGCUCACUGCCUGUUUGUGAGACAUUAUCCAGAUUUUCCCUGAUCAAUUAUAGAGAGGUCAUUGGACUCAUCCAUGAUUGGAAUUUCCUGUUAUCAUUAUUUGCAAAUCAUCAACCAUUUGUCAUGAUAUCUUAAGUUAAGCUGAGCACGAAUUUCAGCUAAGAUCCUCAGAACUAGAAAUAUGCACUGCAGGUAUUACUUGAUAUGUGAAUAUCCAAUACAAUAUUUUUUUACUAAGAGGAAUACGAAUUUGAAACACUUUCCAAUAAUUUAUCAAGUCAUAUUUUCGUGCUGUCGUGAUACAUGUGUCUACUGUAUGCAUGGCUUUUCUUUUCUACACAUGCCUUUAUCUUUGCACAUGACUCUUUUGAUACACGCCAGCAUCAAGGCAAUUGCCUAAAUCUAAAUCACAUCCUUUGUGUCACGUCUUCCUUGUUACCACGGUCCUCUUGUACACCAUGGUCCCUUAAUGUAACUUGUGCCACAAGCCCUUUGUGCAUGAAUUCAAAUUGUUCAAUCAUUUCGCCAUUUACACCUUUUAAGGUCCAAUAAGCGUAUACAAGAGACUACACUCAUUCUAGAUGAUAAAGUACAUUCAACUAACUACUCUUGCUAAUGAGCAUAUCCAAGUCAAUACAUAAGAUUAAUUAUUACAUAUGGUAAUUGAAACCCUGUUUAAAUAAAUAGUGACACAAAUAUAAAAAAUAUAUAUAUUUAAAAAUAAAUAAAUAACAAUUUAGAGAAUUUCAUAACUUAGUAUCAAACCUAUUGUAGGAAAGAGUAUUAUACAAUGUAGGGUUUAGGAUCAAAGUUAACCUAAGAUCAAUUUUAAGUUUUAAGACCAAUUCAAAUUCAAAACUAAGGUUUUAAGUUUCAAAAAUAUAUCUCUUAAACCAAUUAAAUAGAAAAAAGAAAAUUACAAAGAAAAUUUCUUCCUCAUCGGUUUCUUUUAUCUUGAAAACUAAAGGAAAUAUAUAUCAAUAUUUGAGAUGGAAAUUCAUAAUCUUAGAAACACAAAGAACAAAGAGAGUAUGAAGAGACCAUACCAUGAGAGAUUUUCCAAAAGGUUGGUAAACCAUGGUAAUCACCUUUGAGUUUUGCUGAGAAAAACAAACCUUAAUUUUUAUUUUUAUUUUUUUAUCAUUUUUUCUCUUGUGGUGUACAUUUAAGAAAAACAAAUCUUAAAAAAAAAAAAAAAAAAACCAAAUAAUGCCAGAAUUUGGGUUGAGAAACACCCAAAAGAUAGUGGCCCAAUACAUGUGCCUAAGAAAAUCUUCAUGAGCCGAUAAACAUAGUCACAAAACUAGUAACAGCCUUGUAGCCAUAGUUGGUGUAGUAUGAGCAAGUGGGGUAUGAAGUAGGUAGGUGAGUAUUGCAAUGAAAUUUCCAGCACUGCUUCCUGAAUUAAGAAAUCACAUACCCAAGUCUUAGUCGUCGUCGUCGUACCGUGUGAGAACCGGGAAGAAUCUUUGCUCGUAGAGUGGCUUUUGUAGUCUUUCUUUAACAAUUACAAGUUAUCUGAAUUCCCUUCAUCCUCCUAUAUAAUAUUGUUUUUGGUCUUGUUCUUGUUGCAUUGUGGCUAGGCAUCUCCAUGGAAGGAAGGAGGAUGAAUCAAGUUCCUUUGUAUGAAUCAAUUUCUCUGCUCUUUUUCUUUUCAAUCCGUGAAUCGAAUCAUUGCUUAGUUCUUGCUUUAAUUUCUCCAUUUUCUGUUGGGUCUUUGACUGCAGGUUUAGCUCUGCAAGAGAACUGGGAAAUUUAAUGGUGACCUCCAAUCUAAUCGACUCUGCUUUGACUAAAAUUCUUGAGCUUCAAAGAGACCAAACAGCCUUGCUUUCCUCCGUUCAAUACAGAGUUUUUUAUCCAUCUCCCAAGUGCACAAUUGUAGCUUUUGUCUCUUCACCUGACUGCACUCAAAACCCUCUUCCUGGACAAGGAGAUUUAGUUCCGUCUCCUCUCUUUGACUUCCUCUGCACCGAAGAAUACAAGUCCGUCUCCAUUAACAGAGCUGCAUUAACCCUCUUUACCUCUUUCCACGAUCAUCUCUCUGGACUAAAAACUCAGGUCAAAAUAUGAUAGUUGUUUUUAUUUUCGUUUCCUUUUUGUUAACAAUUGUGAGACAUGAAACAGCUUGACCAUGAGAUCUCUCUCAUAGAGUCAAACUACCUGAAGAAGAAGAAGACGUUACACAUAUCCAUCUGCGUUGCAUCAUCGCAUUACCCAUUGAUCGGUUGUGAUUCAACUCUUAAUAGGAAGACAGUAGAACUGGUGUUGGUAUCUGUUUUUAGAUCAGCUUAUAUGUAUCUUGUUUCUAAAAAAGGUAAGUUUAGAAGUGAGAUUAAUGGGAUUAUUCUGACAUGGAUUCCAUAUGGUUACCUGUUUUGCAGUUGACUCAGAUUGAAGGUCAAUUAAUCAUCACUGGGCACUCCCUGGGAGGAUCCGUUGCUUCUCUCUUCACCUUAUGCCUGCUAGAUGGAAAUUUAUUAAAACCCAACUGCCGCCCCUUUUGUAUCACCUUUGGUUCACCCCUCAUCGGCGGCUUUGGCCUCCAACACUCCAUAUGGAAUUCUUUCUUCCUGCAUGUAGUGUCUAACCAAGACCCAGUCCCCGGUCUCUUCCUCCCAUCUGGCAGAGGCAGAUCUACGCCCACAUCCUCCCAUUCACAAACUACCGGUUACAAGCCCUUUGGGACAUAUCUCUUGUGCUCUGAACUUGGUUGUGCUUGUUUGGAAAAGCCUGAUUUAAUUUUGGGAUUGCUGAAAGUCAGAUCAUCCGAGGUUGCCGGAGGAUUGCAGGAUGUUGAUUAUGGGGAGAUUUUAAGAAACCUCAAGGAGAGGGCAAUCUGCAAGGGACUUCAGCAGGUGGGUGAAAGGUUUGCAGAUCCUUUUACAGCUGGGAUCAUCAUGGACCUUGAGAUAAUUGGAUUUGAUCAAACAAAGGUAAACAGCUAGCUUUCUCCCAUCUAAUGAUGUUAUGAAACAUGGUUUACACUUCACCAAAUACUGCAACAACUGCCCUAUUUAGAUUUGCCGUCUUGUUCUUUGGGAUCUUCCAUAACUAGACUCAUUUUUUAAUUUCAUGGCAGCUGCUGCAGCAUAACAUUGAUAUCGAGACUGUGAUAAGCACAAUGGAAGAGGAAGCCAGAAACCCAACCAAAAAAAAUAAAGCUUUCGAUGCCAAGAUUCUGAAUCACAAAAAAAAAGACAUGGCCGGGCUAGAAUGGUAUAAGAAGAAAUCAAAAGAUCUGAACAAGGGUUACUACGACUGCUUCAAAAACCAGGGGUCAAAAAGGGACAUUAAAAUUGAACAGUAUGGGGGACACCUCACAUUAUACUGGAAAGACAUGGUUGCACAAGUACAGAGGAAGCCCCAGAAGGAAGGAGCAACAUUUCGAACCCGUUGGCUCUAUGCAGGGACGGUUUAUAGAAGAAUGGUUGAACCACUGGACAUUGCUGCCUUCUACGUAGAGGGUGGAACAGACUACAUGAAGAAUGAAAGAUCUCUUCAUUACAAGCUGUUGCAGCAAUGGUAUGAGGAAGAUGUGAAACCCCCCUCUAAGGAUAAGCUUGAUUCCAAGAAGCAAAAGGUGUCUGGUAUCCUAACUGAGGAUUCUUGCUUUUGGGCACAUGUGGAGGAGGCUAUCUUGUCAUGCGAAUUGCUUAAGAGUGAAAACUGUACUCUUGAGCAGGAAAAAUCAUCAUGGGAUAAUCUGGUUAAGUUCGAGGAGUAUGUAAUGGAACAGAUUAACAACUAUGCAGUGUCCCCUGAGAUUUUCUUGGGGGAAAGCAGCUUCAUGAAAUGGUGGGGACUGUAUGAGGGCUACAUAUAUGCUCGCAGUAAUUCCCAUAGGUCACCAUUGAUCAGCUUUAUGAAGAACGGUAGUUAUACAGAGUAUCGUUAGAGGGGUAAUCCAGUUUGUGUGUUGUGUGUAUUGUUUUGUGAGCAUUCAAUGGAUAGAACUAGAAAGAGUGUGACCUUUUUCCUUUUUUUCUUCUAGUUGCUGCCCAUAUUCUCAGCACUAUUUUCUUCCUUCUUUUCCUCAGUUUUUUCUUAAGAAAUGAAUAUUAUGAUGUUGCUGGGAUGCACUUUCAUUUUUGUUCCAUUACAUUGUGUUUUAUUCAUAUCCUAAACAAAUAAAUGUAAACAAGAAAAUCAAAUAAGACUUCAAAGAGUCUGUUCCUUUUAAAGCAAGGGAAAAAAAGGACAUGUUUGUUUACUUCCACAGCUGGGUAGAUUCAACUCCACCAAAAUUGGCAACAACUUCCCAUUGAAAAAUUCCUUCUAAGCUUGAAUGACAUAAAACUAGAUAUGUUCCAGCUAGAAUGGUACAAAAAAGAAAUCAAAAGAUGAGCACAAUGGGUUAUUAUGACAGCUUUAGAAACCAUCUUACAACACAUCCAUCAGAAUUUAGACUAUUCAUAGAAACAUUCUUAACAUGUAAAUCUACUAUUGCCAUGCACGUCAACAUAGAAUUUCUAAAAUGAUUGAAUAAAAUAAAUAAAACAAAAGAAACCCUUCCAAGAGAAUUUCAUAAUCUAAUGUCAAAUCUAUUACGAAGAUGAACAUGUAAAAUUUAAGGUUUAUAAUCAAAGUCGACUUGAAUCUGAGUUUUAAAACCAAUUUGCAGUUUUUAAGUUUGGAGACUAGAUCUCUUAAACCAAUUAAAUGUAAAAAACUAAAAAGAAAACUUCUUCAAAUUUUGAAAUGAGAAUGAGAAUGCAAUUCCUAACUAGUUUCUUCAUCAAAAAUCCCGAAAAAAAAAAAAAAAGAAGAGAGAGAGAGACCAUAGACGCCAGUGUUUGGGUUUAGAACCACCCAAGAGAGAGUAGUCCAAUAUAUGGGCUUAAGAAAAUCCUCAUGGGCCUAAGCUAAGACUAGGAACAAUCUUGUAUCCGUGGUUGGUUUAGUAUGAGCAUGUGUACUGCGAAGGAAGUAGCUGAGAAUUGCAAUGGAAUUUCCAGUACUGCUUCCUGAACGAACAAAUCGCAUACCCAAGAUUUGGUCGUCAACGCCAUGCUGGGUGAGAACCGGGGAAGCAUCUUCGCUCGUUGACGAGCUUUUGUAGUCCUUCUUUAACAAUUAUAAGGCAUCUGAAUUCCCUUCAUCCUCCCACACCAUUGUUUUUGGUCUUGUUCUUGUUGCUUUGUGACUACGCAUCUCCAUGGAAGGAAGGAGGAUGAACCAAGUUCCUUUGUAUGCAUCAAUUUUACUGUUUUUUUUUUCCUUUUUAAUCUUUGGAUCGAAUCAUUGCUUAGUUCUUGCUUAAUUUCUCCAUUUUAUGUUGGGUCUUUGAUUGCAGGUUUAGCUCUGCGCGAGAACUGGGAAAUUUAAUUGUGACCUCCAAUCUAAUCGACUCUGCUUUGACUAAAAUUCUUGAGCUUCAAAGAGACCAAACAGCCUUGCCUUCCCCCGUUCAAUACAGAGUUUUUUAUCCAUCUCCCAAGUGCACAAUUGUAGCUUUUGUCUCUUCACCUGACUGCACUCAAAACCCUCUUCCUGGACAAGGAGAUUUAGUUCCCUCUCCUCUCUUUGACUUCCUCUGCACCGAAGAAUACCCUUCCGUCUCCAUUAACGGAGCCGCAUUAACCCUCUUUACCUCUCUCUACGAUCAUCUCUCUGGACUAAUAGAUGAGGUCAAAAUCUGAUACUUGUUUUAAUUUACGUUAACUUUUCGUUAACAAUUGUGAGACACGUAUAUAUAUAUAUAUAUAUAUAUAUCUUGUGGAUAAAAGGAAAGUUUACAAGUGAGAAUAGUGGCAUUUUUCUGACAGAUUUCACACCGUUGCUUGUUUUGCACUUGACUGUGAUUGAAGGUCGAUUAAUCAUCACUGGGCACUCGAUGGGAGGAUCCGUUGCUUCUCUCUUCACCUUAUGCCUGCUAGAAGUCAUUAAUAUAUCAAAACCCAAAUGCCGCCCCAUUUGCAUCACAUUUGGUUCACCCCUCAUAGGCGACUUUGGCUUCCAACACUCCAAUUGGAAUUCUUUCUUCUUGCAUGUAGUGUCCAACCAAGAUCUAGUCCCCGGACUCUUCCUCCCAUCCGGCAGAUCUCCUCCCACAUCCUCCCAUUCACAAACUACUGGUUACAAGCCCUUUGGGACAUAUCUCUUGUGCUCUGAACUUGGUUGUGCUUGUUUUGACAACCCUGAUUUAAUUUUGGAAUUGCUGAAAGUCAUAUCAUCAGAGGUUGCCGGAGGAUUGCGGGAUGUUGAUUACAGGAAGAUUUUAAUAAACCUCAAGGAGAGGGCAAUCUUCAAGGGACUUCAGCAGGUGGGUGAAAGGUUUGCAGAUCCCUUGUCAGCUGGGAUCAUCAUGGACCUUGAGAUAAUUGGAUUUGAUCAAACAAAGGUAAACAGCUUUCUCCCAAUUAAUGAUGUAGCAUGGUUUACACUCAACUUCACCAAAACCUGCAACAACUGCCCUAUUUAGAUUUGCCUUCCGGUUCUUUGGGUUCUUCUAUAACUUCUCAUUUUUUAAAUCCAUGGCAGCUGUUGCGGCACAACAUUGAUAUCAACACUGUGAUAAGGAUACUGGGAGCGGAAGCCAGAAUCCUAGCCCACAAAAAUAAAGCUUCUGAUGCCAAGAAACUGAAUGACAUAAAAAUACACAUGGCCCAGCUAGAAUGGUAUAAGAAGAAAUCAAAAGAUCUGAACAAGGGUUACUACGACUGCUUCAAAAACCAGGGGUUAAAAAGGGACAUUAAAAUUGAACAGUAUAGGGGACACCUCACAAUAUACUGGAAAGACAUGGUUGCACAAGUACAGAGGAAGCCCCAGAAGGAAGGAGCAUCAUUUCGAACCAGUUGGCUCUAUCCAGGGACAACUUAUAGAAGAAUGGUUGAACCACUGGACAUUGCUGCCUUCUACAGAGAGGGUAGAACAGACUACAUAAACAAUGGAAGAUCUCCUCAUUACAAGCUGUUGCAGCAAUGGUAUGAGGAAGAUGUGAAGCCCCCAUCCAGAGAUAAGCUCGAUUCCAAGAAACUAAAGGUGUCUGGUAUCCUAACUGAGGAUUCUUUGUUUUGGGCACAUGUGGAGGAGGCUCUCUUGUCAUGCGAAUCGCUCAAGAGUGCAAACUCUACUCUUGAGCAGAGAAAAUCAUCAUGGGAUAAUCUGGUUAAGUUUGGGGAGUAUGUAAUGGAACAGAUUGGAAACUAUGCAGUGUCCCCUGAGAUUUUCUUGGGGGAAAGCAGCUUCAUGAAAUGGUGGGGAGUGUAUGAGGACUACAUAGAUGCUUCCAAUAAUUUCUAUGGGUCACCAUUGAUCAACUUUAUGAAGGACCGUAGUUAUAGACUGUAUGGUUAGAGGGCAAUCCAGUUUGUGUAUUGUGUUUAUUGUAUUGUGAGCAUUCAAUAGAUAAAACUAGAAAGAGCGUGACCUUUUUAUGACAACUUUAGAAACCAGGGGUUAAAAGAGACAUUACAAAUUGAAUUUUUUGAGAGGAAACCUCAAGAGUAUACUGGGAAGCCAUGGUGGAACAAGUAGAGAGGAAGCUUCGGAAGGAAGGAUCAAUGGUUGAACCACUUGACAUUGUUGCCUACUUCAGGGAGGGUGUAAGAAACAACAUAACCGAGGGAAGAUCUGAACAUUAAACAUUGUACAAUUAUUGUAAAUGUCUUAUACAUUACGUGUGAAAAUACCAAAAAAAAUUAUAUUCAACAUUUAUGUUUGUAUACAAGCAAUAUUUUGGAUAGUUUGAUAUAAAAAACAAAUGAAG